CGGAUGCAGGUUGUCUGUUGUCGAGAGCGCGGAGAGAGGGAGGACACAGACCCGGUCUCUUAGCCCAUCUGUUGGGGAAGCAGCCGAGACAGGGGACUUCUGACGAGCAGCGUACUGCCGCUUUUGCUGUUCGUGACUCUCUUGGGAGAGCGAGGGAGAAACAUACGGUGCUUCUCUUGAGGAACUCUCUCUUUUCCUAGCGACCACGACGCUCUCCCCAGCAUGCGACAGCGAAACGGAAACCCCGCUGUCUUGCCCUUUCGACAAAGUGACGCUAGGUGGCUUUCCCCGGAGAGAAACGUCUCGACCUGUCAUCACCACGUCUUCUCCAUCAGGAGCUUUUUCACAAGAGAAGACUGCGUUUGAACUCGAUAAAACUCGCCUGUUCGCAAUUUCCUUUGUGACAAUCAACCUUUUCUCCAUCGCUUCUGUUCGGCUCGAGACGCCAGCCAUGUGACUAUCCUGAGGGCCGCGUGCGGAGGUUGUCUCUUCGCACCCCUUUGUUUUCAAGCGCGCAGACUUGGCUGAAGGCAAAGGUUCUGGGGAGCUUUCCACCACGUCCUGGAGAAUGGUUCGUUUCUCAGAUUCCUGUCCUCGUGUCUCUCUUUUUGGCAGGCCCCCAAAACCUCUAUGUGUCUGGUCGUCAUUCGGCAGACUCCAUGCCCUGUAAUCUGCGCCUCUCCGGGUGCCUAGAGUGAGGUUCCUCAGUUCUUCGUCUUCUGCUGGACAGACGGCCGCUGAGAGAAAAGGACUUCGGGGUGUCGCAGUCAUCUUGUUUGGGCUCAACCGACUGCCAGGAUGCUGCGAGUCCCCACAACGCGACGGAGGCGAAUCGUCGGCUCGACGACCUCCUGGAAGGCCGCGGGGAACUUGGCAUUCUUGAGGGAAACCGGCCCGGAGGCGCGGUUGUGUCCUGCGACAGGUGUCUAGUUUCUUUUCGUCACCACCAUCUGACUUUUCCACGCUUGUUUUGUCGCCACCAUGCAGGCUACGGACCACACACGCGUCGUCGAUGCAGAGGCGUUUUUGAGGGUUCUGAGCUUCUGAUUUCUUUCUUUCCCCGCUGCGAGAAGCCUGAUGAGAGUCGCGAGACUCGCAUUUGUCUCUUGAUCGGUGGGGCCCUGGUUCUUCGUGGUCGGUUCCUGCGGACUCGUCUCUCCCUGUACUUGCUGGUGAAGCGGACUUUCUCCUCCGGGAUUUCACAUCUCUUUCCAGAGAAGGCCUCCGUCUCGUGGACGAAUGUUUCCUUCUUCUACUGUCUUUCUGGUUUGUGGAGCUCGCCUCUCGAGUGCGUCGAGGCUCGUUGUCGUGAAAGCCAGAGUCUCCAGCAAGGGCGAUCCAGCCUGUUUCGCUUCUACCCCUCGCUAUGCCAGAACUACUUUGCAGCAAACUGGUCGGAGCUCGACCCCUCAACUCAUCGGCGGUGGUGCUCCUCCGAUCGAGGUCGCGGCAGCGCGUCGCCUUCUGACUCGGGGAGAGACGGGUGCGCGCAAUCUGGAGAUCACCGUUUUCGCAGCCAGCCGAGCGGCACUUGCGGAAAUGAUUAUGGGCCUCAUCAAGCGCUUUGAAGAGUCCCUGCCGGAUGCUUGUAAGGUCGUCGACGCGAAAUACUUUGCCUCCAAUUGCUAGUUUUGCCUCUAGGUUUACGGGUUUGCUGAGGAGCGAAGAACUUGAUUGAAUAGUCGAGGACACAGGCCCCCGCGUCCUUCUCUCCUCUGUGGCGCCCGUGCGCUUGACGUUUUUCCUC
This 1747-nucleotide long non-coding RNA is filed under the name Toxoplasma gondii VEG. Lineage: Eukaryota; Apicomplexa; Conoidasida; Eucoccidiorida; Sarcocystidae. The record is from RNAcentral.